UGGCUCAGACGGUAAAGCGUCUGCCUACAAUGCGGGAGACCCAGGUUCAAUCCCUGG
Bos taurus (domestic cattle) is the source of this 57-nucleotide non-coding RNA. The record is from Rfam. NCBI's taxonomy places the organism in Eukaryota, Metazoa, Chordata, Mammalia, Artiodactyla, Bovidae.